This is a long non-coding RNA of Homo sapiens (human), 524 nucleotides long. The record is from Ensembl. Lineage: Eukaryota; Metazoa; Chordata; Mammalia; Primates; Hominidae.
AAUAGAAAGAAAAUAAAAGUCAGAUUCAAGAUGGCGAAAACUAAGAGAAGUCAAUAAGAAAACGAUAACUCUUGGGAGAGUCCAGGAGGGCUGGAGUCCUGGUCCUUGGUCUUGGAAAGACUCGGAGAACUGCUAGGGAGCUGGGAGAGAACUGUGUGGAGCCAUACUGGGAACCUGGACCCAUCUGCAUUUUCACAUAUCCAAAACAGUUCCGUUCCCAAGCCACCCAAAUGUGUGAGCUCUCACUGCAUUUCUGCUUCAUUACUCUUUGAAAUGAAAUAAGGACACAGCUGUACCUCAAUUUAAAUCAGUGAUUGCUCUUCACUCUGAUUCUCUAUGGUGCCUACAAUCUAUGACAAUCAAGCUGUUCCACAUAGAAUGAAUUCUUGCUGCUUUUCUAGGACUGUGCCUCCACUAGAUGGAAAGUUAAGCAUUCCAUCAAAUAAUUGCAAUGGGGAUGGUUGGUGGUUGUGGUUGCUAGUCUUAAUCUACCAUUGAAAUAAACAUUUGGACUGAUUACUCAA